Long non-coding RNA from Myodes glareolus (Bank vole), 398 nucleotides. RefSeq lists it as uncharacterized. Lineage: Eukaryota; Metazoa; Chordata; Mammalia; Rodentia; Cricetidae. The record is from RefSeq and is a predicted model, not a curated record.
UCUGCAGUGAGGAAUCUUCAUCCACAGCCCUCCCUGUUCCAGGGAGCUAUGCUAGAUAGCUGUGUUGCUUUCCAGGUCCUCUUCCCAUCUGCCAUUGCUCAUAUCAAGAACAAUGUCUAGAAGUCAUGGGAGAAGAGUGGACAAGAUGCUGGGUGCACAGGUAGAAUCACCAGUCAUUCAGAGAAUCUGAAUGGUAAGCGAAUGGUGAGCAUCUCACCAAAGAAAACAUCCUCCCAGGCCAGGAGGGAAGACAUCACUCAGUUCAGAACAUCCUCCCCAGACAACGGACAUCCUGCUUUGCCUUCUUCAUUUUCUCAGGUUUCAUUUCAAUGGGAAGAACUAUGGCACAGGUUUGGCCUUGAAGUUCAACGUUUCCAUAAAUAAAUUAUUGAGUCUGA